Molecule: ribosomal RNA, 445 nt
Filed under: uncultured bacterium
Lineage: Bacteria
Description: partial 16S ribosomal RNA
Rfam family: Bacterial small subunit ribosomal RNA
Source: RNAcentral
GUGAGGAAUAUUGGUCAAUGGACGAGAGUCUGAACCAGCCAAGUAGCGUGAAGGAUGACUGCCCUAUGGGUUGUAAACUUCUUUUAUAAGGGAAUAAAGUGAGGGACGUGUCCCUUUUUGUAUGUACCUUAUGAAUAAGGAUCGGCUAACUCCGUGCCAGCAGCCGCGGUAAUACGGAGGAUCCAAGCGUUAUCCGGAUUUAUUGGGUUUAAAGGGAGCGUAGGUUGACAUAUAAGUCAGCUGUGAAAGUUUACGGCUCAACCGUGAAAUUGCAGUUGAUACUGUAUGUCUUGAGUGUACAAGAGGUGGGCGGAAUUCGUGGUGUAGCGGUGAAAAGCUUAGAUAUCACGAAGAACUCCAAUUGCGAAGGCAGCUCACUGGGGUACAACUGACACUGAGGCUCGAAAGUGUGGGUAUCAAACAGGAUUAGAAACCCCUGUAGUCC